Molecule: long non-coding RNA, 537 nt
Filed under: Elaeis guineensis (African oil palm)
Lineage: Eukaryota; Viridiplantae; Streptophyta; Magnoliopsida; Arecales; Arecaceae
Description: long non-coding RNA (EGUI_LNC026323)
Source: RNAcentral
GAAGCCAUCCCACGCCCACCCUUGUGCGCCAAAUAUCUGGAUAAAAAUAAGUUGGUUGGCCAUUCAAAUUCAAAAGAAAGUUUGAAUUUGAAUGAGCAACCAACUAAUCCAUGCGCCAUGGUCUUAUCUUGUGCGCCCCAUAUUUUACACGAAAAAAUAUUUCUCGUGUAAACUCUCAAUGCACAAAUCAACUCACGCCCCUUCUCUUCUCACGCACAAGUGGAUAGGGAUGAGUUGGUUUUGCAUUUGAAUUCAAAUUUGAUUUGAAUUCAAAUGUGCAACCACUUAUCUUUAUCCUCUCACGCGGAUAAGACACGUUCGACGUUGUUUUAAAAAGAGGAGAAAGGUGGGAUGUGCAUAGAAAUUUUAGGAGAUAAACUUUGGGGCGUGAGGAAAGUUUGUGCAUAAGGUGAAGGUCCAAAACCUUCCGAGAGAAAAAGAAAGAAAAGAAAGAAAAUUGAGCGUAGGGUUUCUAGUGUGUACCUUAGGGUUUCUACCUAGGGUUUGAGAAGUGAGAUUGGUGUGCCACGAUUGUCG